UACGGAGGGUGCAAGCGUUAUCCGGAUUUACUGGGUUUAAAGGGCGCGUAGGCGGCUUGGCAAGUUGGGUGUGAAAGCCCAGGGCUCAACCCUGGAACUGCACUCAAGACUGCCUUGCUUGAAUUCGGUAGAGGUUGGUGGAAUUCCCAGUGUAGCGGUGAAAUGCGUAGAUAUUGGGAGGAACACCGGUGGCGAAGGCGGCCCUCUGGACCGGUACUGACGCUGAUGCGCGAAAGCGUGGGUAGCAAACGGG
RNAcentral lists this ribosomal RNA (253 nucleotides) under uncultured bacterium. RNAcentral's name for it is "partial 16S ribosomal RNA". It matches the Rfam family "Bacterial small subunit ribosomal RNA", at positions 524 to 776 of the family's 1533-position model. The record is from RNAcentral.